RNAcentral lists this ribosomal RNA (253 nucleotides) under uncultured bacterium. Its description in RNAcentral is "partial 16S ribosomal RNA". It matches the Rfam family "Bacterial small subunit ribosomal RNA", at positions 524 to 776 of the family's 1533-position model. The record is from RNAcentral.
UACAGAGGUCUCAAGCGUUGUUCGGAUUCAUUGGGCGUAAGGGGUGCGUAGGUGGCGCCGUAAGUGGGGUGUGAAAUUUCGGAGCUUAACUCCGAAACUGCAUUCCAUACUGCGGUGCUUGAGGACUGGAGAGGAGACUGGAAUUUACGGUGUAGCGGUGAAAUGCGUAGAUAUCGUAAGGAAGACCAGUGGCGAAGGCGGGUCUCUGGACAGUUCCUGACGCUGAGGCACGAAGGCCAGGGGAGCAAACGGA